Non-coding RNA from Dipodomys ordii (Ord's kangaroo rat), 70 nucleotides. Lineage: Eukaryota; Metazoa; Chordata; Mammalia; Rodentia; Heteromyidae. The record is from Rfam.
GGGAAUGUGACUUAGUGAUAAAGUGCUUGCCUAACAUGCAUGAAGCCCUGGGUUCAAUUCCUCGAUACCA